CACGUAGUUAGCCGGGGCUUCUUAGUCAGGUACCGUCUUUUUUCUUCCCUGCUGAUAUAGCUUUACAUACCGAAAUACUUCUUCACUCACGCGGCGUCGCUGCAUCAGGGUUUCCCCCAUUGUGCAAUAUUCCCCACUGCUGCCUCCCGUAGGAGUUUGGGCCGUGUCUCAGUCCCAAUGUGGCCGUUCACCCUCUCAGGCCGGCUACUGAUCGUCGCCUUGGUAGGCCGUUACCCCACCAACCAGCUAAUCAGACGCGGGCUCAUCUUAUACUACCGGAGUUUUUCACACAGAAACAUGCGUCCCCGUGCGCUUAUGCGGUAUUAGCAGUCAUUUCUAACUGUUAUCCCCCUGUAUAAGGCAGAUUACCCACGUGUUACUCACCCGUCCGCCGCUAAGUCAAUUUCGAUUCCAUCCGAAAACUUCCUCAAAAUCGCUUCGCUCGACUUGCAUGUGUUAGGCACGCCGCCAGCGUUCAUCCUGAGCCAGGAUCAAACUCU
This 500-nucleotide ribosomal RNA is filed under the name uncultured Lachnospiraceae bacterium. RNAcentral's name for it is "partial 16S ribosomal RNA". Lineage: Bacteria; Bacillati; Bacillota; Clostridia; Lachnospirales; Lachnospiraceae. The record is from RNAcentral.